GCUGGGCAUGGUGGCGGGCGCCUGUAAUCCCAGCUACUCGGGAGGCUGAGGCAGGAGAAUUGCUUGAACCCGGGAGGCAGAGGUUGCAGUGAGCCAAGAUCACACCACUGCACUCCAGCCCCAUGGGUGACAGAGUGAGACUCCAUCUCAAAAAAAAAAAAGUUAAAAAUUUAUUUAAGACAGUGUCUUGCUCAGGCUGGAGUGCAGUGGUAAGAUGAUAGCUCACUGCAGCCUCCAACUCCUGGGCCCAGGCAAUCCUCCCACCU
This 266-nucleotide long non-coding RNA is filed under the name Homo sapiens (human). Its description in RNAcentral is "non-protein coding lnc-CRKL-1:1". The record is from RNAcentral. Lineage: Eukaryota; Metazoa; Chordata; Mammalia; Primates; Hominidae.